GACGAACGCUGGCGGCGUGCCUAAUACAUGCAAGUAGAACGCACAGUUUAUACCGUAGCUUGCUACACCAUAGACUGUGAGUUGCGAACGGGUGAGUAACGCGUAGGUAACCUGCCUGGUAGCGGGGGAUAACUAUUGGAAACGAUAGCUAAUACCGCAUGAUAUUAAUUAUUGCAUGAUAAUUACUUGAAAGGUGCAAUUGCACCACUACCAGCUGGACCUUCGUUGUAUUGGCUAGUAGGUGAGGUAACGGCUCACCUAGGCGAAGAUACAUAGCCGACCUGAGAGGGUGAUCGGCCACACUGGGACUGGGACACGGCCCAGACUCCUACGGGAGGCAGCAGUAGGGAAUCUUCGGAAAUGGACGAAAGUCUGACCGAGCAACGCCGCGUGAGGGAAGAAGGUUUUCGGAUCGUAAAGCUCUGUUGUAAGGGAAGAACGGGUGUGAGAGUGGAAAGUUCACACUGUGACGGUAUCUUACCAGAAAGGGACGGCUAACUACGUG
This 505-nucleotide ribosomal RNA is filed under the name uncultured bacterium. RNAcentral describes it as "partial 16S ribosomal RNA". It matches the Rfam family "Bacterial small subunit ribosomal RNA", at positions 28 to 507 of the family's 1533-position model. The record is from RNAcentral.